GUGUAUGAAUCCAAAUUACACUGAGUUCAAAUUCCCACAAAUCAAAGCUCACCCUUGGCAUAAAAUUUUUCAUAAGCGGAUGCCUCCUGAAGCUGUGGAUCUUGUGUCAAGGCUUCUCCAGUAUUCUCCAAAUUUGCGGUCUACUGCAUUGGAGGCUUGCACCCACUCUUUCUUCGAUGAGCUUCGUGAUCCUAAGACUCGUCUCCCUAAUGGUCGGCCAUUGCCACCUCUCUUCAACUUCAGGCCUCAAGAGUUGAAAGGAGCAUCUGCAGAGCUCUUGAACAAACUGAUACCAGAACAUGCUAAGAAGCAGUGUACCUCCCUUGGUUUCUAAACCUUGUGAAUGUUUAUGUAUCUUUAGUAUAUACUUAUUUGCAAACCAAUUUGUUUGUUAUCUAUUUUGGCACAAACUGUUUGACAUCUCUUCCUUCCCAUGACAACUGUUAACUGACAAAUACAUUGUGAAAGUUGUUCCUUGUGCAAAU
RNAcentral lists this unclassified non-coding RNA (485 nucleotides) under Hevea brasiliensis (rubber tree). Lineage: Eukaryota; Viridiplantae; Streptophyta; Magnoliopsida; Malpighiales; Euphorbiaceae. The record is from RNAcentral.